CUCGUAGGCGGUUCGUCGCGUCCGGUGUGAAAGUCCAUCGCUUAACGGUGGAUCCGCGCCGGGUACGGGCGGGCUUGAGUGCGGUAGGGGAGACUGGAAUUCCCGGUGUAACGGUGGAAUGUGUAAAUAUCGGGAAGAACACCAAUGGCGAAGGCAGGUCUCUGGGCCGUCACUGACGCUGAGGAGCGAAAGCGUGGGGAGCGAACA
RNAcentral lists this ribosomal RNA (207 nucleotides) under uncultured bacterium. RNAcentral describes it as "partial 16S ribosomal RNA". It matches the Rfam family "Bacterial small subunit ribosomal RNA", at positions 568 to 774 of the family's 1533-position model. The record is from RNAcentral.